This 364-nucleotide ribosomal RNA is filed under the name uncultured bacterium. Its description in RNAcentral is "bacterial SSU rRNA". It matches the Rfam family "Bacterial small subunit ribosomal RNA", at positions 29 to 420 of the family's 1533-position model. The record is from RNAcentral.
AACGAACGCUGGCGGCAUGCCUAACACAUGCAAGUCGAACGAGACCUUCGGGUCUAGUGGCGCACGGGUGCGUAACGCGUGGGAAUCUGCCCUUAGGUACGGAAUAACUCAGGGAAACUUGUGCUAAUACCGUAUGAUGUCGAGAGACCAAAGAUUUAUCGCCUAGGGAUGAGCCCGCGUAGGAUUAGCUAGUUGGUGGGGUAAAGGCCUACCAAGGCUACGAUCCUUAGCUGGUCUGAGAGGAUGAUCAGCCACACUGGGACUGAGACACGGCCCAGACUCCUACGGGAGGCAGCAGUGGGGAAUAUUGGACAAUGGGCGAAAGCCUGAUCCAGCAAUGCCGCGUGAGUGAAGAAGGCCUCGG